RNAcentral lists this ribosomal RNA (506 nucleotides) under uncultured bacterium. Its description in RNAcentral is "partial 16S ribosomal RNA". It matches the Rfam family "Bacterial small subunit ribosomal RNA", at positions 29 to 523 of the family's 1533-position model. The record is from RNAcentral.
AGUGAACGCUGGCGGUAGGCCUAACACAUGCAAGUCGAACGGCAGCACAGGAGAGCUUGCUCUCUGGGUGGCGAGUGGCGGACGGGUGAGGAAUACAUCGGAAUCUACUUUUUCGUGGGGGAGAACGUAGGGAAACUUACGCUAAUACCGCAUACGACCUACGGGUGAAAGCAGGGAACCUUCGGGCCUUGCGCGAUUGAAUGAGCCUAUGUCGGAUUAGCUAGUUGGCGGGGUAAAGGCCCACCAAGGCGAAGAUCCGUAGCUGGUCUGAGAGGAUGAUCAGCCACACUGGAACUGAGACACGGUCCAGACUCCUACGGGAGGCAGCAGUGGGGAAUAUUGGACAAUGGGCGCAAGCCUGAUCCAGCCAUACCGCGUGGGUGAAGAAGGCAUUCGGGUUGUAAAGCCCUUUUGUUGGGAAAGAAAUCCAGCCGGCUAAUACCUGGUUGGGAUGACGGUACCCAAAGAAUAAGCACCGGCUAACUUCGUGCCAGCCGCCGCAGUAA